Onychostoma macrolepis is the source of this 2527-nucleotide long non-coding RNA. RefSeq lists it as uncharacterized. The transcript is spliced from 6 exons. The record is from RefSeq and is a predicted model, not a curated record. NCBI's taxonomy places the organism in Eukaryota, Metazoa, Chordata, Actinopteri, Cypriniformes, Cyprinidae.
CUGAGAUGCCCUUUGCCAAUAGGGUUGACAGGAGGAUCUGGUGGUUGACCAUAUCAAAAGAAGUGGACAGAUCCAGCUAGUUAAGUAAUGGAGAUUUGGAAACCGCUCUUGCCAGUCUUAGGGCUUCAACAACUGAGAGCAAGGCAGUCUCGGUUUAAUGUCCACUUCUGAAACCAGACUGGUUGCUGUCGAGGAGGUUGUUCUGUGUGAGAAAGGCAGAGACUUGGUUGAACACAACUCGUUCAAGAGUUUUUGCUAUGAAAGGAAGAAGGGAAAAGAGUUCUUUAAAAGAGUUGGGUUAAGAGUGGGUUUCUUAAGUAGUGGGGUUAUACGAGCCUGUCUAAAUGUUGAGGGAAAAACACCAGUGUGAAUGAGAUGAAAUAUGAUGAGAUGAAAUAGAAUCAAGUGGACAAGUAGUAGGAUGAUUUAGGAAGGAUGAGUUUAGAGACUUCUGACUCAGAGAGUGGAGAGAAGGAUGUGAAAGAGUGUAUGUUUGUUGGUAAGAUGUGUUUGACAGUUUGAGUAAGAGAUGCUAACUGUUUAGAGCGAGGAAGCGAAGAUGAAAGUAAAACAGAGAGCCUGGAGGGUGAAUGUGAGCCUAGUUUACAUCGAAAGAUGACAUGCGGAGGGGUAUGUGUUGUGUCAGGAACCAUGUUGAGGUUAAGAGUGAGCAGGAAGUGAUCUCAGGUGUGCAGUGGGGUAACCAGCACAUGAUCAGUGGAGCAGUGUCCUGAGAAUUAAUGAGAAAUUAUUGAAUUAAAUUAAAGAUUAUUAAAUAUAUAAUUAUCAUUGUAAUGCAUGGGGUGGGACUGAGAACCAUGAACGUGAGGCUUGGUGGCUCCCACGGCUCUCAGCCCCUCCCCUCUUGUCCCAAAAAUUCUAAGUGAAAGUGACGUGACGUGACGUGACCAAGUAUGGUUACCCAUACUCGGAAUUUGUGUUCUGCAAUUAACCCAUACAAAUUGCACACACACAGCAGUGAACGAAUGAACACACAGUGCAAAUGACAACUGAGCCACCUAUGAACCUUGAUCAGUCUCAAGAAACUUGGAUGAAGAAGAACAAACAUUUCCCAUCCACCAAUUCCAAAUGAUUUUCUGUUCCACAAAAAAAAAAAAACAUGUUACCCCCAAAAAAGGAUCCACAAGUAUGUGACACAGAGCAAGAAAUGUUCAAGUUUUGAUGCAUGUCAGCUUCCUGCAAAGGUACUCAAUGUAGAGGAAGAGGUAAUGAAAUCAUUAUACAAAAAUGAAAACUAUUUAUUUAUUGCAUAUAUUAAGGUACACUAUUAUUUACUGUAUGAACUGCAUGUAAUUAUAGGUCGACAUGCUAUGGAAGAAGCCACCUACAGAGUUGAUAAGUCUCCUAGCCAGAAUCUGGAGUACCUGUUACAUCCCAAGGAAUUCCAAACACUGAGGCCACAUGAGAGCAGUCAACUUUGAGCAAUAUGAUGGGCUCAUCACUUUCGUAAAUAUCAACAACAUACACUAGAGGUUUGCGUGACUACAUGCUUACACUGACACCAUUUUUAAUACUUGACCCUCAAAGUGGUACAAAUUAAAUGAAAGAAGCCAAAAAAGCCUGCAAAUAACUUUGGUAGGACAGUUUGUUUUAAAAAGUAAUUUGGCUUGUUUAGCUCCACAACAUUAAUGAUGGUAAAUUACCAUAGUUGGUGUUGCUUAAAACCACAAUAAACACACACACUGCAUUUUUCCAAAAACAGAGAAUUUUUCCAAAUGAGAAAAAACAAGUAUGGAAGAGAGGACUUGGUGAGUACCAAGUGGAAACCUGGCACAAUCCAACAUUCAUUUCAGGAGGAUGGUUCCAGCUGUGGUGUCUUUGUGAUGCUGAUGGCGAAACCGGUGGUGGAAGAGUUCCCAAAAAUUCCUGACAGCAUUAAUAUAAGGAGAUGAUGUGCCACUACAGGAAAAAUGUGGCCAAUGAAAUUUUGCUGGCAUCAGUGUGAAGAGAGGAGUACUGCUCUGUGUGUGGAGAAAAAGAAAGAGCCCAAACAGAGGAGCAAUGCAUCUGGAUUCAAUGUGAAUUAUGCCAGAGGUAGUUUCAUGUUCAGUGCCUCAACAUUAAUCUGCUACCAGAAGAACAAGCAUGGAUUUGUGAUGUGUGUUUGUAAGCUAUUUAGUUAGAGGAGCUGAUGCUGAAAGUGUGUUUAAAUUGUAAGAAAAUUGUUUUGCACUGAUAAGGGACAACGCAAACUAUGAAAACAUAUUUUAUUACAUAAACAGUUUAUACAUAGAAAAUACUUAAAUUUUCGAAUUCAUCAAAAUAUCCACCAUUAGCAGCUGAAAACCUGGGCCAAGUUUAAACCAGUAACCAGGCAUCACAGCUGGCAAAGGGGCAUGUCUGACUUUGACAUGUAUAUAUUGCCAUUAUUAUGUAAUCAAAAUGAAAAUUAUUAUUGCUGGUCUUCAAUGAUAAUGUCAAGUUACUUUAAUGUACAGUAUUUGCACCAACAAAAAAUUAUAAGGAUUUAUUCUGAUGUCAUCCAAAAUAACCACACUUUGCCAGG